UAGGGAAUAUUGGUCAAUGGACGCAAGUCUGACCCAGCCACGCCGCGUGCAGGAAGACGGCCCUCUGGGUUGUAAACUGCUUUUGACUGGGAAGAAAAGACUCCUUGCGAGGAGAUGUGACGGUACCAGCAGAAUAAGCCACGGCUAACUACGUGCCAGCAGCCGCGGUAAUACGUAGGUGGCGAGCGUUAUCCGGAUUUAUUGGGUUUAAAGGGUGCGUAGGCGGCUGAUUAAGUCAGCGGUGAAAGGUAGCAGCUUAACUGUUUUACAUGCCGUUGAUACUGGUUAGCUUGAGUUAACAGAAGGCAGAUAGAAUUUCUGGUGUAGCGGUGAUAUGCUUAGAUACCAGGAGGAAUACCGAUUGCGAAGGCAGUCUGCUGCAGUUACACUGACGCUGAGGCACGAAAGUGCGGGGAUCAAACAGGAUUAGAUACCCUGGUAGUCCGCACAGUAAACGAUGAUUACUAGUUGUUGGCUUAAGUCAGUGACCAAGGGAAACCGAUAAGUAAUCCACCUGGGGAGUACGCCGGCAACGGUG
Molecule: ribosomal RNA, 538 nt
Filed under: uncultured bacterium
Lineage: Bacteria
Description: bacterial SSU rRNA
Rfam family: Bacterial small subunit ribosomal RNA
Source: RNAcentral